RNAcentral lists this small nuclear RNA (23 nucleotides) under Arabidopsis thaliana (thale cress). RNAcentral's name for it is "snRNA_08261". The record is from RNAcentral. Lineage: Eukaryota; Viridiplantae; Streptophyta; Magnoliopsida; Brassicales; Brassicaceae.
CACAAGAAAAGGACAAUACUUUU